GACGAACGCUGGCGGCGUGCUUAACACAUGCAAGUCGAACGGAAAGGCCCUGCUUUUGUGGGGUGCUCGAGUGGCGAACGGGUGAGUAACACGUGAGUAACCUGCCCUUGACUUUGGGAUAACUUCAGGAAACUGGGGCUAAUACCGGAUAGGAGCUCCUGCUGCAUGGUGGGGGUUGGAAAGUUUCGGCGGUUGGGGAUGGACUCGCGGCUUAUCAGCUUGUUGGUGGGGUAGUGCUUAUCAAGGCUUUGACGGGUAGCCGGCCUGAGAGGGUGACCGGCCACAUUGGGACUGAGAUACGGCCCAGACUCCUACGGGAGGCAGCAGUGGGGAAUAUUGCACAAUGGGCGGAAGCCUGAUGCAGCAACGCCGCGUGCGGGAUGACGGCCUCCGGGUUGUAAACCGCUUUCGCCUGUGACGAAGCGUGAGUGACGGUAAUGGGUAAAGAAGCACCGGCUAACUACGUG
RNAcentral lists this ribosomal RNA (467 nucleotides) under uncultured bacterium. RNAcentral describes it as "partial 16S ribosomal RNA". It matches the Rfam family "Bacterial small subunit ribosomal RNA", at positions 28 to 507 of the family's 1533-position model. The record is from RNAcentral.